AUUGAACGCUGGCGGCAUGCCUUACACAUGCAAGUCGAACGGUAACAGGUCUUCGGAUGCUGACGAGUGGCGAACGGGUGAGUAAUACAUCGGAACGUGCCUAGUAGUGGGGGAUAACUACUCGAAAGAGUGGCUAAUACCGCAUGAGAUCUACGGAUGAAAGCAGGGGGUGGCAAGACCUUGUGCUACUAGAGCGGCCGAUGGCAGAUUAGGUAGUUGGUGGGAUAAGAGCUUACCAAGCCGACGAUCUGUAGCUGGUCUGAGAGGACGAUCAGCCACACUGGGACUGAGACACGGCCCAGACUCCUACGGGAGGCAGCAGUGGGGAAUUUUGGACAAUGGGCGAAAGCCUGAUCCAGCAAUGCCGCGUGCAGGAUGAAGGCCUUCGGGUUGUAGACUGCUUUUGUACGGAACGAAAAGCCCCGGGUUAAUACCCUGGGGUCAUGACGGUACCGUAAGAAUAAGCACCGGCUAACUACGUGCCAGCCGCCGCAGUAA
This 498-nucleotide ribosomal RNA is filed under the name uncultured bacterium. Its description in RNAcentral is "partial 16S ribosomal RNA". It matches the Rfam family "Bacterial small subunit ribosomal RNA", at positions 30 to 523 of the family's 1533-position model. The record is from RNAcentral.